RNAcentral lists this ribosomal RNA (305 nucleotides) under uncultured bacterium. RNAcentral's name for it is "bacterial SSU rRNA". It matches the Rfam family "Bacterial small subunit ribosomal RNA", at positions 337 to 638 of the family's 1533-position model. The record is from RNAcentral.
UCCCUACGGGACGCAGCAGUGAGGAAUAUUGGUCAAUGGGCGGGAGCCUGAACCAGCCAAGUCGCGUGAGGGAAGACGGUCCUACGGAUUGUAAACCUCUUUUGCCGGGGAGCAACGGGGUCCUUGCGAGGGCCCGAUGAGAGUACCCGGAGAAAAAGCAUCGGCUAACUCCGUGCCAGCAGCCGCGGUAAUACGGAGGAUGCGAGCGUUAUCCGGAUUUAUUGGGUUUAAAGGGUGCGUAGGCGGGCUUUUAAGUCAGCGGUAAAAAUUCGGGGCUCAACCCCGUCCGGUCGUUGAAACUGGGG